AGGGCAACUGGUGCUGUCUGGAAAAUGAAGGACACUGUCGGUGGGCCCAGGUGAUACAGAAGGCAGCACUACAGCUAACUGUUGAACAAAACGUAACAAGAUAAACCAAGAUGACUAAGUCUAAGUAUCUACCAGUUCAGAAGAAACGGGAGAAAUCUCUUUACCCAACACCCUCAAGGGGCAGGAGUCUUGGUUCCUCAGCAACAGCUGGACAGAGAACACGCACUAAGAGCCGAAGCCUGGAGUGUCCUUUGGGCAGGUCAUGUGCCAGAGCUCAACACCUUCCUCUCUGGCAUGAUCUCAUAAGCAAAGUUUCAGAUUUCAGACUAGAUGUCACUGCCUUCUAGCAUCAGCACUUUGUUUCUCUAUCGAAUGGCUCCCUCAUUUAGCUGCUCUUCUCAUUAAGACUUAUUAGCACAUCCAGACUGUUGGGAAACUGUUAAUAAAAAUUCUGUAGACUCCUGAGGGCAGACAUGUGUAUCAUCAUCUUCAUACCUAUAGCACCUAG
Long non-coding RNA from Hyaena hyaena (striped hyena), 508 nucleotides. RefSeq lists it as uncharacterized. Lineage: Eukaryota; Metazoa; Chordata; Mammalia; Carnivora; Hyaenidae. The record is from RefSeq and is a predicted model, not a curated record. The transcript has 3 exons.